AUUAAAUUAUCAUAAUUAAUGUUUUAAAUUUAGAAUUUAAAUAAGUAAUUUUUAUUACAUUUAA
Molecule: transfer RNA, 64 nt
Filed under: Aleurodicus dispersus
Lineage: Eukaryota; Metazoa; Arthropoda; Insecta; Hemiptera; Aleyrodidae
Description: tRNA-Leu
Source: RNAcentral